Molecule: ribosomal RNA, 176 nt
Filed under: uncultured bacterium
Lineage: Bacteria
Description: partial 16S ribosomal RNA
Rfam family: Bacterial small subunit ribosomal RNA
Source: RNAcentral
ACUCCUACGGGAGGCAUCAGUGGGGAAUUUUCCGCAAUGGGCGAAAGCCUGACGGAGCAACGCCGCGUGAGGGAUGAAGGCCUCUGGGCUGUAAACCUCUUUUCUCAAGGAAGAAGAUCUGACGGUACUUGAGGAAUAAGCCACGGCUAAUUCCGUGCCAGCAGCCGCGGUAAUAC